UCGUCAGGUAGGAUAAUCCUUACCUGUUCCUCCUUCGGGAGGGCAGAUCGGAACAUGAUGAUUGGAGCUCGCAUGAUUCGUGAUUAGCGUCUCUGCGUAGCUGGGACUUGCAACACCCCGGCUGCUCCUGUCUGAU
This 136-nucleotide small nucleolar RNA is filed under the name Vulpes vulpes (red fox). RNAcentral describes it as "U8 small nucleolar RNA (ENSVVUG00000028100.1)". It matches the Rfam family "U8 small nucleolar RNA". Rfam says of the family: U8 is a member of the C/D class of snoRNA which contain the C (UGAUGA) and D (CUGA) box motifs. U8 is the RNA component of a small complex (the U8 snoRNP) which is required for accumulation of mature large subunit ribosomal RNAs, 5.8S and 28S rRNAs. U8 RNA has been identified in human, mouse, rat and Xenopus. The record is from Rfam by way of RNAcentral. Lineage: Eukaryota; Metazoa; Chordata; Mammalia; Carnivora; Canidae.